AUAGUUUUAAUUAAAAGUAAAGA
Molecule: small nuclear RNA, 23 nt
Filed under: Arabidopsis thaliana (thale cress)
Lineage: Eukaryota; Viridiplantae; Streptophyta; Magnoliopsida; Brassicales; Brassicaceae
Description: snRNA_15153
Source: RNAcentral